UGGGGAAUAUUGGACAAUGGGCGAAAGCCUGAUCCAGCAAUUCCGCGUGUGUGAAGAAGGCCUUCGGGUUGUAAAGCACUUUAGUGGGGGAAGAAACAGCUUGGCCACACCAAGCCUUGACGGUACCCCAAGAAUAAGCACCGGCUAACUCUGUGCCAGCAGCCGCGGUAAUACAGAGGGUGCAAGCGUUAAUCGGAUUUACUGGGCGUAAAGGGUGCGUAGGUGGUUUUUUAAGUCGGAUGUGAAAGCCUUGGGCUCAACCUCAGAAUUGCAUUCGAUACUGGGAAACUAGAGUUCGGUAGAGGGCGGCGGAAUUUCCGGUGUAGCGGUGAAAUGCGUAGAUAUCGGAAGGAACAUCAAUGGCGAAGGCAGCCGCCUGGGCCUGGACUGACACUGAGGCACGAAAGCGUGGGUAGCAAACA
This 422-nucleotide ribosomal RNA is filed under the name uncultured bacterium. RNAcentral's name for it is "partial 16S ribosomal RNA". It matches the Rfam family "Bacterial small subunit ribosomal RNA", at positions 355 to 774 of the family's 1533-position model. The record is from RNAcentral.